GACGAACGCUGGCGGCGUGCUUAACACAUGCAAGUCGAACGGAAAGGCCCUGCUUUGGUGGGGUGCUCGAGUGGCGAACGGGUGAGUAACACGUGAGUAACCUGCCCUUCACUUUGGGAUAAGUUCAGGAAACUGGGGCUAAUACCGGAUAGGAGCGCCUGCUGCAUGGUGGGGGUGGGAGAGUUUCGGCGGGUGGGGAUGGACUCGCGGCUCAUCAGGUUGUUGGUGGGGUAGUGGCUUACCAAGGCGGUGACGGGUAGGCGGCCUGGGAGGGUCACCGGCCACAUUGGGACUGAGAUACGGCCCAGACUCCUACGGGAGGCAGCAGGGGGGAAUAUUGCACAAUGGGCGGAAGCCUGAUGCAGCAACGCCGCGUGCGGGAUGACGGCCUUCGGGUUGUAAACCGCUUUCGCCUGUGACGAAGCGUUAGUGACGGUAAUGGGUAGAGAAGCACCGGCUAACUACGUG
Molecule: ribosomal RNA, 468 nt
Filed under: uncultured bacterium
Lineage: Bacteria
Description: partial 16S ribosomal RNA
Rfam family: Bacterial small subunit ribosomal RNA
Source: RNAcentral